AAAGGAAUAGACGGGGGCCCGCACAAGCGGAGGAACAUGUGGUUUAAUUCGAUGAUACGCGAGGAACCUUACCCGGGCUAGAACGUGGAUGGAAUAUAUGGGAAACUGUAUAGCUGUUUAUAGCAGCCGUCUGCGAGGUGCUGCAUGGUUGUCGUCAGCUCGUGCCGUGAGGUGUCGGCUUAAGUGCCAUAACGAGCGCAACCCUUAUUGUUAGUUGCCAGCGGGUCAUGCCGGGGACUCUAGCAAAACUGCCUGCGUAAGCUGUGAGGAAGGUGGGGAUGACGUCAAAUCAGCACGGCCCUUACGUCCGGGGCGACACACGUGUUACAAUGGGGGGUACAGAGGGUAGCUACCACGCGAGUGGAUGCCAAUCUCGAAAACCUCUCUCAGUUCGGAUCGAAGUCUGCAACUCGACUUCGUGAAGCCGGAUUCGCUAGUAAUCGCGCAUCAGCCAUGGCGCGGUGAAUACGUUCCCGGGCCUUGUACACACCGCCCGU
RNAcentral lists this ribosomal RNA (497 nucleotides) under uncultured bacterium. Its description in RNAcentral is "bacterial SSU rRNA". It matches the Rfam family "Bacterial small subunit ribosomal RNA", at positions 903 to 1397 of the family's 1533-position model. The record is from RNAcentral.